CGCGCAGGCGCGGAGCUGCGGGUAGCGGAGACGUGGCAGCCGCUGGUCCGGCAUCCGGCUCGGGUUCCUGGAGCCGCCCGCCGAGGGCGAGCCGUGCCACGGAGGCGGAGUGGGAGAAAGGGACUGUUUACAGAACAGUUUGCAUCCCGCGAGGAAGAGAGGGAGAGAAAAGACAGCCGGAGGGAGGAAGGGAGAGCCUGGGGCAGACGCCUCUGUGUGCCGCAGGAACGGUGGCCGGAACUGGGGGAAUGGCACAGAGGUGCGCCAGCCUGCAGGCCGCCCUCGGGCUGCCUUUCCGAAAUGGACCCCAGAUAGACACCAUACCCUAAAGACCAGCUGGGAGACGACUAGCGUGAUACUGCCCAAGAGUCCAGGAGUGGCUUUGCAUCCCUUGUUUUGCGGGCAGUAAACCUGUUGAUACCACAAAGAAAAUGGCAACAGUAGUAGCGAAGUGUUUCAACUACGGCCCAGCCGUUUCAGCCUGCUACUGGCUCCGUCUCUUAUCCAGCUCCAUUCUACUGCUGUCUUGGUAGGUGCUCGGCACCGCUGAAAGGAAACUUUAAAGGCCAAUGUUCUCCAGCCCAGCCUUGAACAAGCUCACUAAACCACCGCGACAAAGAACGCUUUGUAACCAUGUGCCAGCCGAGACACUGCCCCUCCUCUGUGUAGCCGCCCUGCCUUCUCUGGGCCUGUAAAAAUAAAGCCUAGAGGAGAAAAUAAACGAUGUGUGAAGGAAAGAA
Peromyscus maniculatus bairdii (prairie deer mouse) is the source of this 740-nucleotide non-coding RNA. Lineage: Eukaryota; Metazoa; Chordata; Mammalia; Rodentia; Cricetidae. The record is from RefSeq and is a predicted model, not a curated record.